This 336-nucleotide unclassified non-coding RNA is filed under the name soil metagenome. RNAcentral's name for it is "partial contains 5.8S ribosomal RNA, internal transcribed spacer 2, and large subunit ribosomal RNA". The stretch from base 1 to 120 matches the Rfam family "5.8S ribosomal RNA", at positions 35 to 154 of the family's 154-position model. The record is from RNAcentral.
GAUGAAGAACGUAGCGAAAUGCGAUAAGUAGUGUGAAUUGCAGAAUUCAGUGAAUCAUCGAAUCUUUGAACGCACAUUGCGCCCCUUGGUAUUCCAUGGGGCAUGCCUGUUCGAGCGUCAUUUGUACCUUCAAGCUUUGCUUGGUGUUGGGUGUUUGUCUCGCCUUUGCGUGUAGACUCGCCUUAAAAUAAUUGGCAGCCGGCGUAUUGAUUUCGGAGCGCAGUACAUCUCGCGCUUUGCACUCAUAACGACAGCGUCCAAAAGUACAUUUUACACUCUUGAUCUCGGAUCAGGUAGGGAUACCCGCUGAACUUAAGCAUAUCAAUAAGCGGAGGA